Molecule: long non-coding RNA, 1140 nt
Filed under: Lepidothrix coronata (blue-crowned manakin)
Lineage: Eukaryota; Metazoa; Chordata; Aves; Passeriformes; Pipridae
Description: lncRNA (ENSLCOG00000001866.1)
Source: RNAcentral
UGUCCGUGUCCCUCACGGCUUGGGGAAAGCAGGCAGCUGUUCUGGGAGCAGGAGGGGUGUUUCCUCUGGUUUGGCUGCUGGUUAGUCAUAAAGCCACUUCUGUAAAGUGGCUUCCCGCCGUCUGAUCGUAGAACGUCUCGAGCUGGAAGGGGCCCUGUAGAAAGGUCCAGACAAAAGCCUUGCUCCCCUUUGGGGGUAUACCUCAAAAACUGCUCAGGCUUGUUGCUCAGGAGCUGCCUCGUUGAAUGCAGUGUAGCUGCUACCAAGUUAAGAACUGCAGACCUUUAAGAAACAAAAUGCAGUCUGAGGGGAAGGGAUGGGAUUCAAGGCUAAAGUAAAUGGGAUGUCUUGAUCCCAUGCUGGGCUUGGUAAUUUAAGGUGAGGCUUUCCUGUUACAACAUUUGUUUGUGAUAAUAGGGUCAAAAAGGUAUUAUGGGGAUGGAAGGGGGAAAUAGCUAAAGGGGCCCUAUUAGAAAUAAUAAUCUAAAUUCUAAUAUUGAAAUUAUCAUUACUGAACUAAAUACUUAUUUUUCUCUAGGCCCCAAGAAAAAGUUCAGUGGGAAAACUCUACCAAAAAUUACAGAAAAUCUUGAACUCAUUGAGGAGAGCCCUUCAUGCAACCAAAGCAAUCAAGUGAAUGUCAGAGAAACAAGAGACUUGGAAAAAGAAGAAGAGGAAUCAGAAGAAAGCAAUGCAUCACUGAAGAAAUCCUCAAUGAUCAGCUUUGAAAGUAAAGAAAGUUUGCAAAAUGCAGAAAUGACUUCAAGUACAGGAAUGACUCUUCCCACAGGUGUUUCAACCUUUCUCAUUCAGUGUUUAGAUGCCGAUUCAACUGCAGAUUUUAACAAUACUAGUGACAGCCUGCAGAGUUACUCAUCCCCUGAAACAUUCAGAGAUGAUGAUUCAGAAAGAAGUCAUUUUUACUCUGUGGACCUUGGCAAGUACAAGAACUCUACUCUACUGGACUCCAGCAAAGCAGUGACCAUUGAUAAGAUAGCACAGAUCUCAAAUCUUUCAGCAAUAUUAGAACCUGUACCAAAGGAUUUUCAAGACCAGUGCAUUAGAAGAAAGAGACCAUCAAAUUGCAAUUACAGUUCUUCAGCAUUAGGCAUUUCAGCUACUCUGUCAGGUAAAAUAUGA